GAUGAGAAAUUUGGGUAGAGCUGGUUGCCCAGAUUUGAAGACAGGUCUUCAGUGCCCUACACUGAAGCUUUAAUUUAUGAAGUGUUCAACAUGCAUCUUACGUGCCUUUCAUGAUUCCUCAUUGUACCGCUGAAGAUAUUGUAUUAAGCGGAUAUUUUAUUGCCAAAGAUUCCUGUGUUUUCAUCCAUCAAUAUCUAAUCAACUAUAAUAAAAAAUUAUAGAAGAACCCAGGUUUGUUUAGCCCUGAAAGAUUUCUUGAUGAAAACAGACAAGAAAUCAAGAACCUAGCUGAAAAGUAAUGAUCUCCAGGAUUGGCAAGAGGAGGUGUCUGGAAGAAAGCUUUGCUCACAUGGAAAUAUUCAUUUUCCUAACAAUGUUACUACACUGACUGGACAUCAAGCAUCUGAAAGGCCAGAAAAUAGAUCUAGAUCUACUAUUUUGGACUAACUAUGAAACCUAAACAGUUUUAAAUUGCCAUCUCUCUACCUAUACAUUUCAAGUACAUUUUGGUCCCAAAUUUUGAAUCAGAGACAUACCCAUUUUAAAAACCUGGGCCUUCAUAAACAAUAGGGGGAGUUUAACAA
Chelonia mydas (Green sea turtle) is the source of this 584-nucleotide long non-coding RNA. RefSeq lists it as uncharacterized. NCBI's taxonomy places the organism in Eukaryota, Metazoa, Chordata, Testudines, Cheloniidae. The transcript is spliced from 3 exons. The record is from RefSeq and is a predicted model, not a curated record.